This 273-nucleotide non-coding RNA is filed under the name Palpitomonas bilix. The record is from RNAcentral.
ACCUGGGAAGCCGUCGCCCGAGCAUGUGUGGGCAAGGAGCACUACGCCCAGUUGGUCGAGUGUCUGGGGGACGUCUGGACGCCCCUAUUUGUCGUGGCCGUGCAUCAGGCCGUGCGCUUGGACGUCGCCAAAUGUGCCCAGGCACACCGCGACAAACUCACCGGGUGGGUUCGCGCCGUCACCUCCUCUUCCUCCCCAAGAGACAGCGACCGAACCAUGGGAAGGUGGUGCGUGCACUUGCAGGACCUCCCCCCAUCGUUUGCCCUCACGAAG